CAGCAGCCGCGGUAAAACGGAGGGAGCUAGCGUUGUUCGGAAUUACUGGGCGUAAAGCGCGCGUAGGCGGUUACUCAAGUCAGAGGUGAAAGCCCGGGGCUCAACCCCGGAACUGCCUUUGAAACUAGGUGACUAGAAUCUUGGAGAGGUCAGUGGAAUUCCGAGUGUAGAGGUGAAAUUCGUAGAUAUUCGGAAGAACACCAGUGGCGAAGGCGACUGACUGGACAAGUAUUGACGCUGAGGUGCGAAAGCGUGGGGAGCAAACAGGAUUAGAUACCCGGGUAGUCCCUGUCUCUUAUAA
Molecule: ribosomal RNA, 301 nt
Filed under: uncultured bacterium
Lineage: Bacteria
Description: partial 16S ribosomal RNA
Rfam family: Bacterial small subunit ribosomal RNA
Source: RNAcentral